This 468-nucleotide ribosomal RNA is filed under the name uncultured bacterium. RNAcentral describes it as "partial 16S ribosomal RNA". It matches the Rfam family "Bacterial small subunit ribosomal RNA", at positions 28 to 507 of the family's 1533-position model. The record is from RNAcentral.
GACGAACGCUGGCGGCGUGCUUAACACAUGCAAGUCGAACGGAAAGGCCCUGCUUUUGUGGGGUGCUCGAGUGGCGAACGGGUGAGUAACACGUGAGUAACCUGCCCUUGACUUUGGGAUAACUUCAGGAAACUGGGGCUAAUACCGGAUAUGAGCUCCUGCUGCAUGGUGGGGGUUGGAAAGUUUCGGCGGUUGGGGAUGGACUCGCGGCUUAUCAGCUUGUUGGUGGGGUAGUGGCUUACCAAGGCUUUGACGGGUAGCCGGCCUGAGAGGGUGACCGGCCACAUUGGGACUGAGAUACGGCCCAGAAUCCUACGGGAGGCAGCAGUGGGGAAUAUUGCACAAUGGGCGGAAGCCUGAUGCAGAAACGCCGCGUGCGGGAUGACGGCCUUCGGGUUGUAAACCGCUUUCGCCUGUGACGAAGCGUGAGUGACGGUAAUGGGUAAAGAAGCACCGGCUAACUACGUG